Molecule: unclassified non-coding RNA, 327 nt
Filed under: Schizosaccharomyces pombe (fission yeast)
Lineage: Eukaryota; Fungi; Ascomycota; Schizosaccharomycetes; Schizosaccharomycetales; Schizosaccharomycetaceae
Description: non-coding RNA (predicted)
Source: RNAcentral
UCAUGACUUUAGUGUUAGUUCUUAUGAAACUUUGUACCUAGCUUAGUUUAGAAGCUCUUUAAUUCACCUUCGACGAAUUGCAGUACUCCGUGGAGUUUAUGUAAUGAAGUUUGCGAAGUGAUACAUGCCACAGACUUUUUUGAGCCAUAUUAUAACUUUCAUUUUCAAAUGAAUUGAGAAUGGUACAAGUACCCACUAAUGUCCAUGUACCACCAUCUUCAACAUUCCGUAUGAACUUUAAACACAUUUAGAAAAGGAGUGAUUCUCUUAAUAUGCUCAGUAGCAUUCAGUACCGACGCUACUGCCGAAACGAUGGAAAAUGUUCAC